CUGGCUUUUCUCAGUGUGGUUUGUGUUGUAACCCUAACAGUCUGUGAGGGUGGUACACAUGGUAAUCUUUGCUGAGCAUAUCCUGAACGUCUGAUGUUUGUUUUGCUGGUUUUGAACUCUCACAUUCUGGAAAGAAAAGGGAAGUAGAAAGACAGCUGGGCAGCACAGACAUUUAUUUUACCUUCAUGUUUCCUUGUGCCCUGGCUGGGUGCACGACACAUUAAAUCCAUCAUCUUGGCAACAAUGUAUGUGGUCACAUGCCACCCUGGCUCUCUGGUCUGUCUGACAAAUACAUCAUUAGGAAUAUUUUUGGCUGCGGUGCAUCUGACACUCCACAAAAAAAGGCCAGCUGUUGAAAAAGAACAGUUCUCUCCGAUUUUCUGUUUUCCAAAGGAGUUUUGGAAGAAAAUUGAAAAAGAGUAUAUACUUUGA
Molecule: long non-coding RNA, 432 nt
Filed under: Crocodylus porosus (Australian saltwater crocodile)
Lineage: Eukaryota; Metazoa; Chordata; Crocodylia; Crocodylidae
Description: lncRNA (ENSCPRG00005011464.1)
Source: RNAcentral